Molecule: microRNA, 21 nt
Filed under: Corchorus olitorius
Lineage: Eukaryota; Viridiplantae; Streptophyta; Magnoliopsida; Malvales; Malvaceae
Description: osa-miR14
Source: RNAcentral
UUUUGGAACGGAGGGAGUACU